Molecule: long non-coding RNA, 3829 nt
Filed under: Taeniopygia guttata (zebra finch)
Lineage: Eukaryota; Metazoa; Chordata; Aves; Passeriformes; Estrildidae
Description: lncRNA (ENSTGUG00000028019.1)
Source: RNAcentral
UUUUGCUGAAGAGUUUAUUUGGAGCAGGCAACUCAAGAUAGGACUUUACCAUAAAACAAAAGGACCAAUGUUUGCUAAAUAACAGCGCUGUGCAUUGUAUUACUUUCUACCCACCCUGGUUCUUAGGAGGAAAGCUGUCCAGAGCUGCUGUCCACCUGGGUACAUACAGAGUGGAAAUAUCAGUGUUGGCUAAGAUGCAAAAUGCUGCCUGUGACCACCUUUGUAAUCACUGGUUGAUUUGGACUUUAUCAAGGACAGAAAUACAGCUUUGGAGAUUCCUCCUGAAAAGCCACCACACCUGUUUGUAAUGAUGCCCUUAUAUUAUUUAUAGCUGAGUUCACAUUUUGUCUAAAGCAUGUUCUACUAAAUGCUGUUUUAAAAAUGUUGCACUGCAAAAGCAGAAAAAUUCUACUAACAUUUCUACAUUGCAGUAUUACACUAGAUUAAGCCUCUAACAGUGCCUCAGAUGGAGUCUCUUCCUGCUACAGCUGUCAAACAAUUUACACCAUCAAAACCUGGUUUUGAACAAGGUACAAUGGACAAUAUCAGAGUGUUCUUUCCUUGUCAAUUCAGAUUAAAAAAUUAUUCUCAAGUAACAAAUUAUUAAGGCAUGCAAAGACUUAGCUCACUCUAUUCCUAUUGAGCACAAUUAUUUUUUAAAGUAAAAAGAAACCAAAAAACUCUGACAACAACAAAAUUUUAAAAACCCUUUACAAUUUUUUGAAUUGCUGAGAUUUCUUUUGUGGGUUACAUCCAAACAUCUUGCUCCAUUUUGUUACAGUCCUGAAAGGUCACAAAGCAUUUACCACUUUUCUUAAUCCCACCCCACAACACAUGCUCUCAGGUGGAUCCUUCUCAUGACCACCCUCCUCUCAGUCUCUGUAAUCCAGAAACCAGGAACAGACAUCCCUUUCUGUAUUGCAGCAUGCUCCCAUCAGGUUAUUUAGAACAAAACAAUUCCUAAUCUGGACCACAUAGCAGGAAGAAAAAUGGGAAAUUUCAUGGCAGCUUUUAAACUACCACAUGGCAUAACCCUGCACACAGCAGCAGAGCCACUUUGUUGACCCAAGCUAGGAAAGUAUGUGGCUGUGGCAGAUGGGUCAUGUUAGCAGUAAUGCACAGCUAAAAAAAGAGGGUUGUGUCGUCCCUUUGAAAAGAGCAAGUUUGUAGUGUAAGACAUCUUGUAAAGUAAAGCCUUAGAAGCAGAAAAAGCCUAAAAAGGCACAGUAUUUGACAUUGCUUAGUUUUAGAUUACAAAUAAAAUAUUCUCCAUCUCUCUCUAACCUAGAGAGCAGAAACUUUGCACAUGCUUUGGCCUGUGUAUCAUGUCAGCUACAUGAUGCACAGCCUCACAUUACUUCUGUCUUCUGCUCUAGAUAGAGGAAAAAAAAAGGUACAGAAGGUACAUUUCUCUUGAGUUCAGCUCUGGAGUUUGAAAUGCAGAUUUUGAGAUGAGAAAGAAAAGUUUCUUUUCCUAACUACAGCAUAUUUUCCUCUGUGGAGGAUGUGAACACUAGCCAAAAAAAAAAAAAAAAAAAAAAAAACCAACCAUGAGUUCCUGUAUUUUAACUGUCUCUCAUCUUGAAGCAAUAAACAAAGGUUAAUCAAAUAAUUACUAGCUGAGUAAAUAUUUUUGCUCAUAUGUAUAAACCAACCUAGGUCAGAUUCUCAUGUUUUGGCUCAGCAUUAGUAUGUCUUUUCAUGGUUGGUAGAUCCAAAAUUAUUUUUUUCCAUCUUAAGUCCAUAUGCUAAAUUGAGAAACUAUGCAUAUAUACAUACAUAAGUAUAUACACACACUCUAUACACAUUGUUUUUUACAGACCCUCCAAGAACUGUUUCUUUUUCCUCUAAACAAAGUGCAGAGAAGCAUGUUCAUGAAAGUGUCUCUACAGAACUCUGCAAUGACCAUUUAACAGAGGUCAGCAUGUUCCAGCAAGGUAACACCCUCCAGCUGCCUGCAAACAAGGUGGAAGGAUCUUCCCAGCCCACCUUACAGAGGCAAAUGAUGCAUCAAAAGCUCCAUUUAGGCAACAUGCUACCACCCAACCCUACUUACCUUGCAUGUUCAUUCCUAUCUGGCUUUCAGCAAUCCCAGGUCCUGUAUCACUCUUAUCAUGUGCCUAAUGUAACAGAGAGCUCUGUGUUGUGGAUACUAUUAGAACAAUUAAUUUGCUGCAGCUCUGCGAGGGUUGUGGUUUAAGCCCUCAACUCCAUUUGAAUCCUUAGGUCAAAUUUCUCCAUUGUGUGAAAGCUGUUCUGAAGUCCCCAAAGAGCAUGACUACUCUUCCCCAAAAGCUUUAGAGGAGAGAAUGGAGAAGUAACUGUUCUCUGAGGACCUCACAAAGGAGACCUGGUCUGCCAGACAUCAGACACCCUGCCACUGUCCUCCCUGGAGAAAGAACCAAGCAACAAUAAUGUCAAGUAACAUCUCCAGCAUGAUUAUCUAUGCCUUCCAAAGCAGUACUGCUCAAUUCUACAAAACUUGUGGCUAUGUGUCACAUUCCAGUGUGGGGAACUGCAAGGAGUUUUUUUAAAAAAUAGAUGGUCGGGAAUGAAACUAAGCCAAAGAAGACAAACAUUUUUAUCUGACAACUGUUUAUUGGUAAUGAAACCACAAAACAAAAAGGAGUUACUCCACUAAGGAGAGCUAGAGAAGAAAAAUUGAAGAGAAAAGGAGAAAGAUAGAGAUGAGACAGAGGGAACAGAAAGCGCUACCAGCGGAGGUCGGGUGUGCAGUCGAUGUCCCGAGGCGAGGCUGUGCACGCUGCCGGCCGGGCACGGCUCCUGUGGCCAGGGCGGCCGGACACGGGCUGAGGAGUGCUCAGGCAGAAGGGCCAGGAGAGCCAGGAACAUGGGCAGGAGGGCCAGGAGUGUGGGCAGGAGGGCUGGCUCGGGAUGCUGGAUCACAGGCACCUCAGGAGGGAUGCAGAGAUGAAGCAGGCAGGGCGUCAGUCAGGGACUCAGGGAGGCUGGACAGACGCGAGGGUGAGCAAGAGCCAGUGAGGGCAGGAGAGCCAAAAGGCAGGACUCCAAAAGCAAGUUCAAAAAGCCCCCAAAAGAGUCAAAAGGCAAGGACAGAACAGCCCCCGGAGCUUGUGACACAGUUACUUUUUCUGCCCUGGCUCCUCCCCAAGUAUUCCUUAUGAGAGGAGACCAUGGCCCAGUCCGAUGUCCCAGUGCAAUCCAUUGGCAGAGACCUUUUCCGUCUGCCUGGAGAGUGUCUCUGGGGCGCAGUGCCUUCGGUGUCCCCCUGCUGUCCCCCCUGCCUGUUCGGUGCAAGACAUGAAAUGGUGGCCAGGCGAAGUCCCCCAGAGAAAAGGCUUUCCUGCGUCUUCUCCUGGCUGCCUCCUGGCCAUGGCACAUCUGCAGCCCCUCCCCACAGGCCUCUGACAGCCAUUGCUGAGGCCUCACAGAACUCAUUGGCUCCUCAUACUAUGGUUUGAAAGCUUUUCUUUUCAAACAGGCUCUUUCUGCAUGUCUGCAUUUCACAGGAUUGCAUAUAUUGUGGUUGGGUCGAACUGUUUUAAGAUAAUAGUUCUGCCAUAAACUUUCCUUCAGACUUUAUGUCCUGAAAAACACAUAUCAGAUCAGACUUUACUUUUGGUAACUGUAUCUGCCUCCUGAUCCUCUAAGACUCAACUCAGCUUUUUAAGGACCACAUCCUUGCAAACAAGCUCCAUCACUAAACUGUAAGAUGAUGGCCCUGGACUGUACUGUACUGAGCCAAGGACUUUAGAUCCAGAAAGCUAAAAUGCACAGUGGGUGUUACCAGGCCACUCAUCCAGUUCCGGUCUGCUGACCAAACCUCUCACUAAGCCAAUUCAAAUAC